This 3287-nucleotide ribosomal RNA is filed under the name Triticum aestivum (bread wheat). Its description in RNAcentral is "partial small subunit ribosomal RNA". Lineage: Eukaryota; Viridiplantae; Streptophyta; Magnoliopsida; Poales; Poaceae. The record is from RNAcentral.
AUGCGUGUUGUGUGUGAACUUUGUUUCCUCCCUCCUUCUCUGAAUCUCACCUACUCUCCCUGUAUCUCACCUUCUUCUUCAGCAAGGAAACCUGGAUUGGAUCUCGAUCCCGAUUGCCUCCCUUGUUUCGAUCCUCUGCAUCAGUGGUUCAUUACAAACUAGUAUUCAUAGCCAAUUCCUUCACCCCCCUCCCCCCACAAAUUUUUUUCAGCCAGUUCUUCCUCUUAUCCUCUCGAUUGGAUCGUAACACCCACCGUCGCGGAUGCGGAUUCACCUCGGUGAUCUGCUCGAAAUCCCCGGCGGGGUUGAUCUGAUUUGGAGCGAGGCGAAGGCGCCGACUUCCAAGCCUUUUGCUCAAACACGCCACAUCUUGUCCGCCAUGUCGGAAACUUCGGGUGAGAUCAAAUCGCUGCUGGAGUCGCUCCUGACGCGGUUCGAGAAGAACCAGCUCGCCGCCGACAAGAACGUGGAGGAGCAGCCCGCCUUCAACCAUCAGGUCUCUAGCGACUUGACCCACCUACGCAAGCAAAUCCACCUGACGCAGUCCAACAUCGAUGAGGUGCGCCAGCUGCACGAGCCGCACAAGCCAUCGGCUCCGCCGUCCCCAUCCCGCCAGCCGCGUACACCACGGGAGGGCGAGCCACAAGCUUCCUCCAUCACGCCACCCGAGCUGCCAUGCGGUUCGGAGAUCCACGGACCGCUUGUCCGCCUUGCCAACAACGGGCCGCCCCUGCUCGCGACGCACCCGUUUAUGCCGCUCCAAGGAACGGCGCACGUCACGCUGCAACAUCAUCACCAAGAGCAGCGCCACGACACGACUGGCAACUACUACGCCGUCAAACCGCCCAAGCACGAUUUCCCCAAGUUCGGUGGCACGGGGCCAUACCUGUGGAUCGAUCGGUGCGAGACCUACUUUGAGUUGUACCGCGUUCCUCCUCACAGUUGGGUGACCACGGACGCGCUCUACAUCGAGGGGCACGCAACACACUGGUCGCAGGCAUUCUGACAAGCACAUCGUGCACUCUCCUCGGCCGCCUUCUGCCUGCGUUUUGAUUUUCGGCCGAAAAAAACGAAUUUCGGCCGAAUUUCGGCCGUUUCGCUAGGGCCCGAUAUAUGGGCCUGUCGGCCGAAUAAUUUGGCCCAGUUUGAAUUUUUUUUGCCCAGCCCAGCUUCCAGAGCCUUCCAACUAAGACAAAAGCACGAAACCCCAAUCGGCCAACCCUAGAAUCGCUCGUUGCUUGUCCCUCCUCCCGUGUGCGGCGCCGCCGCUGCGCACAGGACAGCGAGCGCUUCCACCCCAUCUCCUCGCCCUCGUCCACUUCUCCGGCCAAGCCGCUCACUUCUCCUCGCCCUCGUCUACUUCUCCGGCCAAGCCGCUCACUUCCACCACUUCUCCUCGCCCUCGUCCACUCCUCUCGACCUCACGAGUCCUCACCAGAUCUGAAGCUCGUAGGCAGCAGGGCUCCCUAGACUGCAGCAUGGUGCUCGGCGGCUGCGGCAACGGAGCUGAUGGAGCACGAUCCGACCAGUUCAACGGAGGCAGUAGCACGGGGCAGCGGCAGCAGCAUGGAGGGCCUCCGCUUGACUGGGAAGGUACAGAUGUUGAAAUGAUGCUUGUGUGCAACAUUAAAGUUUUUUCUCCAGAACAGAUUAGUUUCAACAAAAAAGUCUAGUAAUGUUUGGUGGAAUGCACUAGAGUGGGUACUAGGUUCGUUAAGGCCACUUUAUAAGGCCAUGAGGUAUGCUGAUACGCAGAAACAAUGCACUCUUUCUGGCUUAAAAAAAAGUAUGAUGCUCGCUAUACAACGGAUGGAAGCACAUCUAGGCCCUACAUCAAGGUUGUACCUUAGUUUCAUGCGCAAGGUGGGCAAGAGGAUAGAUGCAAUGGAAGAAGAUACGUUUAUGGUUGCAGCUGCCGUCCUUGAUCCAUAUACACAUUACAGCCUCAACCUUUGCAACCAUACAAAUUAUGCUACUGCACUAACAGAUGCGAUAGCGAAGAUAUUAGAUCCAAAGAGUGCUCUUUCAGCCAUUGAUGAAGUUAGUAAGUUUAGGGAGUGCCAAGGAAGGUUUGGGACCAGAUUAGCACAAGAAGCUGCGGCGAGAAUGGAGCCAAGUAAGUCGUGGUCUUUUGGUUUUAGAAUUUCCAUUUCCUUUUGUUUUGUAAUUCUGAAAAUUUCAUUGGUGAUAUCUUGCAGCCCAAUGGUAGUUUCAAUUUGGAGGGGAUGUUCCUGCAUUGCAGAAGUGUGCAAUGAGAAUUUGCUCACAAUGUGUCUCAUCUAGUGGGUGUGAGAGGAACUGGAGCGCCUUUGCUUUGGUGCACACAAAGCAAAGAAAUCGCCUUUUAUAUGACAAGCUCCACAAGCUAGUUUCUGUCCGCUACAACCUAAAGAUACGUGCUGAAGAAGAUCAAGAGAAAGAGAGAGAUAUAGAUAAAGAGGUUGAUCCAAGUGCAUUGCUGAUAGAUACAACAAUGUUCGAUGAGACAAAUCCAAUAAUGGAGUGGCUGAAUGAGGAUGAAGAGGAUCCAGUUUUGGAUGGAGCCGAUGCGGCCAGUGCUGUUUUUGAGAAAAUAAGGCGCCUCAACUCAAGCAGGAAGGAUUCUUAUGUUGGUACAAAGGCUAAUAAGAAGAAAAGAAAGAGGAAUCAUGAUGAGGAGAAUGAGUAUGUUGAAACUGACAGUGAGGAUGACGACAACGAUAAUGAAUAUGUUGAUAAUGAGAGUGAGGAUGAUGAUGGGGUGAGUGAGGAUGAUGAGGAUGAUCAACAAGAUCAGCAAGAAACACAAAUGCAAGUGGAAGAAGAGACACAAGUACAAGUUGAAAAGGAGACACAAGCAAGCAUUGGCAAUUUGGAGACUCGUAGAUCUGGACGACUAGUUAGGAAGAAGACCAAGGAAAUCAACAGCCUCUACUCGUAGAUUUGCUGGAGCUUGGAGCUAGCUGGAGCUUGGAGAAUGAUGCUAGUUGGAGGCUUGGAGCAUGGAAGCUGGAGCUAGUGAUGAUUUCUUUUGGAGUUGUUGUUCGUUGUGAUGCUUUGAUGGUUGUCUUUUGCUGUUCGGUGUGAUGCUUUGAUGGCUGUCUUUUGGAGAUGUUUCUACGUGAAGUCCUUUAAAUUCCUAGAGUUGGUUGUACUGAAGUAUUUAAACUUUGAACUAUGAUGUGAUGGUUGUGGACUGUAAGUUUAGAACUAAUGUGAUGGUUGUGGACUGUAAGUUUAUAUUGGACUGACGCUCUUAUUUUAAUCCCUAGAGCUAAUUUGCUAAACAUUAUAUGAUUACUCCUGAU